Molecule: ribosomal RNA, 497 nt
Filed under: uncultured bacterium
Lineage: Bacteria
Description: partial 16S ribosomal RNA
Rfam family: Bacterial small subunit ribosomal RNA
Source: RNAcentral
GAUGAACGCUGGCGGCGUGCCUAAUACAUGCAAGUCGAGCGAACGGACGAGAAGCUUGCUUCUCUGAUGUUAGCGGCGGACGGGUGAGUAACACGUGGAUAACCUACCUAUAAGACUGGGAUAACUUCGGGAAACCGGAGCUAAUACCGGAUAAUAUUUUGAACCGCAUGGUUCAAAAGUGAAAGACGGUCUUGCCGUCACUUAUAGAUGGAUCCGCGCUGCAUUAGCUAGUUGGUAAGGUAACGGCUUACCAAGGCAACGAUGCAUAGCCGACCUGAGAGGGAGAUCGGCCACACUGGAACUGAGACACGGUCCAGACUCCUACGGGAGGCAGCAGUAGGGAAUCUUCCGCAAUGGGCGAAAGCCUGACGGAGCAACGCCGCGUGAGUGAUGAAGGUCUUCGGAUCGUAAAACUCUGUUAUUAGGGAAGAACAUAUGUGUAAGUAACUGUGCACAUCUUGACGGUACCUAAUCAGAAAGCCACGGCUAACUACGUG